RNAcentral lists this ribosomal RNA (498 nucleotides) under uncultured Glomus. RNAcentral's name for it is "SSU rRNA". It matches the Rfam family "Eukaryotic small subunit ribosomal RNA", at positions 570 to 1073 of the family's 1831-position model. The record is from RNAcentral. Lineage: Eukaryota; Fungi; Glomeromycota; Glomeromycetes; Glomerales; Glomeraceae.
GCAGCCGCGGUAAUUCCAGCUCCAAUAGCGUAUAUUAAAGUUGUUGCAGUUAAAAAGCUCGUAGUUGAAUUUCGGGAUCAAUACGUCGGUCGUGCUUCGGUACGUACUGGCGUAAUUGAUUUUUCCCUUCUGACGAACCAUGAUGUCAUUAACUUGGUGUCAUGGGAAAUCAGGACUGUUACUUUGAAAAAAUUAGAGUGUUUAAAGCAAGCUAACGCUUGAAUACAUUAGCAUGGAAUAAUGAAAUAGGACGUUCGAUCCUAUUUUGUUGGUUUCUAGGAUUGACGUAAUGAUUAAUAGGGAUAGUUGGGGGCAUUAGUACUCAAUUGUCAGAGGUGAAAUUCUUGGAUUUAUUGAAGACUAACUACUGCGAAAGCAUUUGCCAAGGAUGUUUUCAUUAAUCAAGAACGAAAGUUAGGGGAUCGAAGACGAUCAGAUACCGUCGUAGUCUUAACCAUAAACUAUGCCGACUAGGGAUCGGAUGAUGUUAAUUUUUAA